Molecule: long non-coding RNA, 622 nt
Filed under: Equus caballus (horse)
Lineage: Eukaryota; Metazoa; Chordata; Mammalia; Perissodactyla; Equidae
Description: lncRNA (ENSECAG00000030997.3)
Source: RNAcentral
CUUACCUCCUGAUUCCCACUACAGUGCUCUUUCCACUAAACACCGACUGAAAGAACAGAGCAGCUUCCGGGAUUUUUUGUAGUGGAAGAGAUGUAUGGGUAAGAUGAAGCCAAAGGGGGCCAGAUGGGCCUACUUAAUUUUGAUGGCAUAAUAGAGCCAAUUCUAGAAAAAACUUAAAGUCUUGCCCAUAUGUAAAACAGUCCAUGAAAAUCAGAACACACAGAAAAGAAGGAAAGAGGAAAGAAGACACUAAUUACAACCACGAUGAUGAUGACAACAGCAGCCAAUACUUAUAAAACAAUUCAAUGCCGGGCAUGUUUCUAAAUGUUUUAAAUUUAUUAUGUCAUUUAAUAUUCACAAAAAUCAUAUUGCGGCAAGACCCCCAGGAAGAAGAACUAUGUCCUAGUGAAUCAGAAAUAAACUGUAAAAGAUGAUGGAGACUUCAGAGCAAGGACAAAAGCUUUUCUGCACACAUCGUUCUCUGCUUCACCCUUGGUUUGCCUCCUUCUCAUCUGAGUCCUGCAGCUCCUAGAGUCUGUUCCACACCCUUGCUCCAUAUUGGUGAAAAGCCUGCAUGGCCAGAAGCUGGGAGAGAGUGGAAGGCAGAGAGCUGUGAUCUAGG